Long non-coding RNA from Anneissia japonica, 366 nucleotides. RefSeq lists it as uncharacterized. The transcript is spliced from 2 exons. Lineage: Eukaryota; Metazoa; Echinodermata; Crinoidea; Comatulida; Comatulidae. The record is from RefSeq and is a predicted model, not a curated record.
GGUGUAUAAUAAAACAUACAACCUUAAAACACAAGUUUAACAAGCUAACAACAUGUGUUUGUCAUUUAAUCUGUUCAGCCAACCACAGAUAAUCUCAAAUUACUUAAUUUGAUUGGUCACUGUAUCCAUGUUUAUCACUGAAGGCCAUGGAAAUUAACAAGGUGCUUUUGAAUGUUAUCAAUUAACUGAAAUUUGUUAGUGGUUUUAGAGCUCUUUUUCAGUGCACAUUCAUGAUGAUGAAACAGGCAGUUUAACCAUAUUUUCUGAAGUAUUUCAGCAGUACUAAUAGCAGCGGGUGAGCUAACUGGUCAAAAAUAAAAUUUUAUUUUUAUUUUAAAUCUUCAUCUUCGUCGAACAGUGGAUUUG